Molecule: ribosomal RNA, 465 nt
Filed under: Vreelandella stevensii
Lineage: Bacteria; Pseudomonadati; Pseudomonadota; Gammaproteobacteria; Oceanospirillales; Halomonadaceae
Description: partial 16S ribosomal RNA
Rfam family: Bacterial small subunit ribosomal RNA
Source: RNAcentral
CCUACGGGUGGCAGCAGUGGGGAAUAUUGGACAAUGGGGGCAACCCUGAUCCAGCCAUGCCGCGUGUGUGAAGAAGGCCCUCGGGUUGUAAAGCACUUUCAGUGAGGAAGAACGCCUGGUGGUUAAUACCCAUCAGGAAAGACAUCACUCACAGAAGAAGCACCGGCUAACUCCGUGCCAGCAGCCGCGGUAAUACGGAGGGUGCGAGCGUUAAUCGGAAUUACUGGGCGUAAAGCGCGCGUAGGUGGCUUGAUAAGCCGGUUGUGAAAGCCCCGGGCUCAACCUGGGAACGGCAUCCGGAACUGGCAAGCUAGAGUGCAGGAGAGGAAGGUAGAAUUCCCGGUGUAGCGGUGAAAUGCGUAGAGAUCGGGAGGAAUACCAGUGGCGAAGGCGGCCUUCUGGACUGACACUGACACUGAGGUGCGAAAGCGUGGGUAGCAAACAGGAUUAGAUACCCUGGUAGUC